UAAAAACCCCGACUUCGGAAGGGGUGUAUUUAUUAGAUACAAAACCAAUGCCCUUCGGGGCUCCUUGGUGAUUCAUGAUAACUAUACGAAUCGCACGGCCUUGCGCCGGCGAUGGUUCAUUCAAAUUUCUUCCCUAUCAACCUUCGAUGUUUGGGUAUUGGCCAAACAUGGUUGCAACGGGUAACGGAGGGCUAGGGCUCGACCCCGGAGAAGGAGCCUGAGAAACGGCUACUACAUCCAAGGAAGGCAGCAGGCGCGCAAAUUACCCAAUCCCGACUCGGGGAGGUAGUGACAAUAAAUACUGAUACAGGGCCCUUUCGGGCCUUGUAAUUGGAAUGAGUACAAUUUAGAUCCCUUAACGAGGAACAAUUGGAGGGCAAGUCUGGUGCCAGCAGCCGCGGUAAUUCCAGCUCCAAUAGCGUAUAUUAAAGUUGUUGUGGUUAAAAAGCUCGUAGUUGAACCUUGGGCCUGGCUGGCCGGUCCGCCUCACCGCGUGCACUGGUCCGGCCGGGCCUUUCCCUCUGUGGAACCCCAUACCCUUCACUGGGCGUGGCGGGGAAACAGGACAUUUACUUU
This 576-nucleotide ribosomal RNA is filed under the name uncultured eukaryote. Its description in RNAcentral is "SSU rRNA". It matches the Rfam family "Eukaryotic small subunit ribosomal RNA", at positions 174 to 758 of the family's 1831-position model. The record is from RNAcentral.